Molecule: ribosomal RNA, 254 nt
Filed under: uncultured bacterium
Lineage: Bacteria
Description: partial 16S ribosomal RNA
Rfam family: Bacterial small subunit ribosomal RNA
Source: RNAcentral
UACGAAGGGGGCUAGCGUUGUUCGGAAUUACUGGGCGUAAAGCGUAUGCAGGCGGAUCGUUAAGUCGGGGGUGAAAUCCCGAGGCUCAACCUCGGAACUGCCUUCGAUACUGGCGACCUUCGAGUCCGGGAGAGGUGAGUGGAACUCCGAGUGUAGAGGUGAAAUUCGUAGAUAUUCGCAAGAACACCAGUGGCGAAGGCGGCUUACUGGUCCGGUUCUGACGCUGAGGCGCGAAAGCGUGGGGAGCAAACAGG